Chelonia mydas (Green sea turtle) is the source of this 2969-nucleotide long non-coding RNA. RefSeq lists it as uncharacterized. Lineage: Eukaryota; Metazoa; Chordata; Testudines; Cheloniidae. The record is from RefSeq and is a predicted model, not a curated record. The transcript is spliced from 3 exons.
CGAAAACCACAGCCCCUCACGUCAGACAGUUUAAAAGCCCCUUAAUAAAUCGGUCUGUGGUCCCUGCCCCGGGUUGGGAGCAGCCAGCCCCUUUCACGUGGCGGCUGUUGGGCUGAUCCAUCCUCUUUUCAUUGUGAUUCACGUCUAAUUUUCCCCUGUGGCUCCAAUUAAGAGUUGUGCCUAUGGAUUUGGCCUCAGAUAAGGGAGUGGUUGCAAGCUCCCUCCACAGCAAUCGGAGAGAGGGCCCCACAGAAACAGACACUUGCAGAACGCUGCCAAUCUAGCGGCAUCGAUUCAACACUGAAACGUAGGGAGAGGAAAAAGAGUCAGUUACACCAGCACAUCGUUGCGGUCCCACGUGGAGGACGGCUGUGAAGCCCAGCAGAAUGAGGAUGCAGGCCUGUAAUAGAACAGAGGUUUCAUCAUCAGAAUAAAUAAGCAUCCUUUUACUCCAUUAUUUUAACUUAAUGAGGUCUCCAAGAAAAGUAUUCCCACAAAUUCAGCACAGUGCUGCAUCCAGAUCUCUCACAAUUUGGAGUACAAGGUUCCUGAACUAUUGAGGUGGCCACUUCAUGGAGAGAUCCUCCUUGUUGCACCCCUGCUAUUCUCUGUCUCUUCCAAUCUAUAUCUUUUGGACAAGCAACCCAGCCCUUAAAGCAAACUCUUCAAUCGCAUGACUCUGGAGGUUGCUGUGAAAAUAAACUGCCAUUUGCUAUUUUUAAAUACUACUACUUUUCAUUAAUAUAGCCCCCUAUAUUCCAGGAUCUCAAAGAAUUUUAAAACCUUACUGAAGUAAGCCUGGUAGGGCUGGUAUUACUGUCCAAUUUCUACUGAUGGGAGAGAGAGCAAAAGACCAGAAAAGAGUCCAACAGAGCUGAAAAGAAAAUCCAUACGACUUCCAGCACCUUCCUCUAACCACUAGCCGAUGCUAUCUGCUCUAAAUAGCAAGUUGAGCUAUUUUUAGAAUAGACAUACUAUGUCACUUUGUUAGUGACAAUAUGUCACUUUGUUCUUCAAAUCCUUAGUCACACGAGUAACAUUACCCACAAGAGUAGAGAAUCCCAUUGAAAUCAGUCAGUGAGAACUAUUCAUAUAGGUAAGAGUUUACAAGAUAUGGCUCUCAUAUCACCAUCAUUGGAUCCACAGCUUAGUACAAAAGUCAAGUAAUACAAAUUGCACAAAUAUAUAUAUAUAUAUAAUGGAGUCACUUUAAGAAGAGGUAAAGCCAGCUAAUUCGAUAAAGCAUAUGCCUUUAAAAUGACAUUGCCAGGAAUAAAAUUAUUUGUAGUUACUUGCACUAAGCCCAGAUCCUCAAAUAUAUUGAAGUGGUAGCCAGCCAUAUGUGUAAGAGCCAUUUAUAAAUUAAUAAAUAGGUAUUAUAAGGUUGUAAGUCAAGGGCCUAUGGGCCUCAGGCCUGUAUGACAAUUCAUUUAGCAUAGAUAAGACCUGGAUAUAAAAUGGCAGUAAUGAUGUGGGUAGUUACUAAGUUAGUUAUUUUUAACCAGUUAGUUUGACCUUAAGUCACAAGGUAAGUAUUACAGUAAACAAAAGUGGUACAUGGUGAGAAAAGGUGAAGUGAGGUACCGAAAAAGCAUUCCCUUGGAAUCUUAGGGAAAGUUUAAAAGGAUGUUGAGCUUAACUGAAACUUACAUGUACUAACUGCAGGUGGCAACUAACCAAUGUAAAUGUUAAUGAGUAUAAUGUAAGUGAUUAAUUGACCUGUCAAAGAUGGGGACCCCAAUAUUAUGAAGGUGUGGUACAAGGAAAGAAAAAGUUGAAAACAUCAUUGAAUGUGCACAAGGUAUGGCAGGUGUUAGUGUAACCCCUUGUAAAAGAUAUUACCCAGCUUAAGGGCAGUGGAACACACUAAUCUGAUGACCACACUCAGAUGGUCUCAGGUAUGCCAGGGGUUCCCUGAAAGGGAUAAUGUGAGUAUGUAAGUGCUGUCCAUUUUGUAUUGGCUCUGUCUCCUUUGCUAUAUUACAGUGUGUGUGAUCUUUUUUGUUUUGCUAAUAAAGUUUAUAACAUUACUAAUCAAAGAAUACAUAAUAGAUUGUUUCUCAUGUGCUCCUCAUUCUACUGACAACUUUACUACUGUGCCUGAUUCAGAGGCAGAACCCUUUCAAGCUACUGCACAGUAUGUAAAAGUAAAUACUCCUUAUGAAUCAGGCAACACAAAUCAAUGUGAGUUGGGCCCCUAAAUUUCUUUGAGGAUCUGGGCCUAACUAAAUAGAAAUGCACACAAGACUACUUAAAGAAUUGCUAUGCCAUCACCUCCUCCAGUACAAGUGGAGAGUUCUGUUAAUAGAGUCUGACUAAGUAGAUAUAAUCUGAGUUUGAAAUUAUAUUAUAUUUAAAAUUAUAGGCCCUUUGAAGCUACCAGAAUACACAUAUUUAAUUAUAAGUUAACUAUACCACAUCAUCUUACAACUGAAAACUUAAAAUGGACCAAAAAUGAGGCAUUUUAUUGGAUUGUAAUAAAACAAGACACUUCUUUACAAGUUAGGUUAGGUAAUUUAUAUAAUUAUAAAAGUGGGUUUACAGUUAAUUUUUGUGAUUGCUCAUUGUAAUAGCAAUUUUUUUUCAUAAAUAUAAAACUGGUUAGAGGACAUGCCUAUCACUCAAAUGUCAUCUUUAAGAAGAAGAACUUUAUUAUACAAUAAUUUUAAUUAUAAAUGUAUACUUAAUUUACCUUUGAAGAAAAACAAUGUUGUUUUACCUAAAGACUCUCAAAGAAAACUGGUGAAAACAUUAACGCUAUUCACCAGACCACCAUUAUAAUAAAUGGCUAUAUUAGAAGGAUGAACAGCAUAAUUCAGGGCUGUCUAAAUACCUGAAAGAUAGACAGACUCUGCCUAUGAAGUACGUUGCAUUUACAGAAUUAAAAGAAUAACCAGAUAAGAGAUUUUUUUUUAAAAAAUAAGAGUGGCUAAUUUAAUUGACUGAAAUGUGUUUGCUAAAUGCAGGGG